Molecule: ribosomal RNA, 372 nt
Filed under: uncultured organism
Description: partial 16S ribosomal RNA
Rfam family: Bacterial small subunit ribosomal RNA
Source: RNAcentral
GUAGGUGGCAAGCGUUGUCCGGAAUUAUUGAGCGUAAAGCGCGCGCAGGCGGUUCUUUAAGUCUGAUGUGAAAGCCCACGGGCUCAACCGUGGAGGGUCAUUGGGAACUGGAGAACUUGAGUACAGAAGAGGAAAGCGGAAUUCCACGUGUAGCGGUGAAAUGCGUAGAGAUGUGGAGGAACACCAGUGGCGAAGGCGGCUUUCUGGUCUGUAACUGACGCUGAGGCGCGAAAGCGUGGGGAGCAAACAGGAUUAGAUACCCUGGUAGUCCACGCCGUAAACGAUGAGUGCUAAGUGUUAGGGGGUUUCCGCCCCUUAGUGCUGCAGCUAACGCAUUAAGCACUCCGCCUGGGGAGUACGGCCGCAAGGCUG